GGAUUAGAUACCCCGGUAGUCCAUACCGUAAACGAUGGGUGCUAGUUGUUAAGAGGUUUCCGCCUCCUAGUGACGUAGCAAACGCAUUAAGCACCCCGCCUGAGGAGUACGGCCGCAAGGCUAAAACUUAAAGGAAUUGACGGGGACCCGCACAAGCGGUGGAGCAUGUGGUUUAAUUCGAAGAUACGCGAAAAACCUUACCAGGUCUUGACAUACCAAUGAUCGCUUUUGUAAUGAAAGCUUUUCUUCGGAACAUUGGAUACAGGUGGUGCAUGGUCGUCGUCAGCUCGUGUCGUGAGAUGUUGGGUUAAGUCCCGCAACGAGCGCAACCCUUGUUAUUAGUUGCCAGCAUUUAGUUGGGCACUCUAAUGAGACUGCCGGUGAUAAACCGGAGGAAGGUGGGGACGACGUCAGAUCAUCAUGCCCCUUAUGACCUGGGCAACACACGUGCUACAAUGGGAAGUACAACGAGUCGCAAACCGGCGACGGUAAGCUAAUCUCUUAAAACUUCUCUCAGUUCGGACUGGAGUCUGCAACUCGACUCCACGAAGGCGGAAUCGCUAGUAAUCGCGAAUCAGCAUGUCGCGGUGAAUACGUUCCCGGGUCUUGUACACACCGCCCGUCAAAUCAUGGGAGUCGGAAGUACCCAAAGUCGCUUGGCUAACUUUUAGAGGCCGGUGCCUAAGGUAAAAUCGAUGACUGGGAUUAAGUCGUAACAAGGUAGCCGUAGGAGAACCUGCGGCUGGAUCACCUCCUUUC
Molecule: ribosomal RNA, 759 nt
Filed under: Oenococcus oeni
Lineage: Bacteria; Bacillati; Bacillota; Bacilli; Lactobacillales; Lactobacillaceae
Description: bacterial SSU rRNA
Rfam family: Bacterial small subunit ribosomal RNA
Source: RNAcentral